GACAGAGGUGCCGAGCGUUAGGCGGAAUCACUGGGCUUAAAGCGUGUGUAGGCGGAUCUGUAAGUACCUUGUGAAAUCCCACGGCUCAACCGUGGAACUGCUUGGUAUACUGCGGGUCUUGAGCCACCUAGGGGCAAGUGGAACAAACGGUGGAGCGGUGAAAUGCGUAGAGAUCGGAAAGAACACCAACGGCGAAAGCACUCUGCUGGGCCGACACUGACACUGAGAGACGAAAGCUAGGGGAGCGAAUGGG
This 253-nucleotide ribosomal RNA is filed under the name uncultured bacterium. RNAcentral describes it as "partial 16S ribosomal RNA". It matches the Rfam family "Bacterial small subunit ribosomal RNA", at positions 524 to 776 of the family's 1533-position model. The record is from RNAcentral.